AUUGAACGCUGGCGGAAUGCUUUACACAUGCAAGUCGAACGGCAGCACGGACUUCGGUCUGGUGGCGAGUGGCGAACGGGUGAGUAAUACAUCGGAACGUGCCCAGUCGUGGGGGAUAACGUAGCGAAAGCUACGCUAAUACCGCAUACGAUCUAAGGAUGAAAGCGGGGGAUCGCAAGACCUCGCGCGCUUGGAGCGGCCGAUGGCAGAUUAGGUAGUUGGGGGGGUAAAGGCUCACCAGGCCGACGAUCUGUAGCUGGUCUGAGAGGACGACCAGCCACACUGGGACUGAGACACGGCCCAGACUCCUACGGGAGGCAGCAGUGGGGAAUUUUGGACAAUGGGCGCAAGCCUGAUCCAGCCAUUCCGCGUGCAGGAUGAAGGCCCUCGGGUUGUAAACUGCUUUUGUACGGAACGAAAAGGCUCUGGUUAAUACCUGGGGCUCAUGACGGUACCGUAAGAAUAAGCACCGGCUAACUACGUGCCAGCAGCCGCGGUAA
RNAcentral lists this ribosomal RNA (500 nucleotides) under uncultured bacterium. RNAcentral describes it as "partial 16S ribosomal RNA". It matches the Rfam family "Bacterial small subunit ribosomal RNA", at positions 30 to 523 of the family's 1533-position model. The record is from RNAcentral.